This 286-nucleotide unclassified non-coding RNA is filed under the name uncultured fungus. Its description in RNAcentral is "partial contains small subunit ribosomal RNA, internal transcribed spacer 1, and 5.8S ribosomal RNA". The stretch from base 1 to 73 matches the Rfam family "Eukaryotic small subunit ribosomal RNA", at positions 1759 to 1831 of the family's 1831-position model. Lineage: Eukaryota; Fungi. The record is from RNAcentral.
ACAAACUUGGUCAUUUAGAGGAAGUAAAAGUCGUAACAAGGUCUCCGUAGGUGAACCUGCGGAGGGAUCAUUACAGAGUGUAAAAACUCCUAAAACCCUUUUGUGAACCUACCUAUAGUUUGUUCCUUCGGUAGGCGGUCCCUGGGAGGGAUCUGUAGCCCUAUGUGGUGCCUGCCGAAGAACGACCCAAACUUUGUUACUAUGGUAUUAUUCUGAGUAAUUACAAAAUAAGAUAAAAACUUUCAACAACGGAUCUCUUGGUUCUGGCAUCGAUGAAGAACGCAGC